UAGGGAAUAUUGGACAAUGGGGGCAACCCUGAUCCAGCCAUGCCGCGUGAGUGAAGAAGGCCCUCGGGUUGUAAAGCUCUUUUGUCCGGAAAGAAAAGCUUCGGGUUAAUACCCCGGGGUUCUGACGGUACCGGAAGAAUAAGCACCGGCUAACUUCGUGCCAGCAGCCGCGGUAAUACGAAGGGUGCAAGCGUUACUCGGAAUUACUGGGCGUAAAGCGUGCGUAGGUGGUUGUUUAAGUCUGAUGUGAAAGCCCUGGGCUCAACCUGGGAAUGGCAUUGGAAACUGGGCAGCUAGAGUGCGGUAGAGGGUAGUGGAAUUCCCGGUGUAGCAGUGAAAUGCGUAGAGAUCGGGAGGAACAUCUGUGGCGAAGGCGGCUGCCUGGACCAGCACUGACACUGAGGCACGAAAGCGUGGGGAGCAAACA
This 427-nucleotide ribosomal RNA is filed under the name uncultured bacterium. RNAcentral describes it as "bacterial SSU rRNA". It matches the Rfam family "Bacterial small subunit ribosomal RNA", at positions 355 to 774 of the family's 1533-position model. The record is from RNAcentral.